RNAcentral lists this ribosomal RNA (253 nucleotides) under uncultured bacterium. RNAcentral's name for it is "partial 16S ribosomal RNA". It matches the Rfam family "Bacterial small subunit ribosomal RNA", at positions 524 to 776 of the family's 1533-position model. The record is from RNAcentral.
UACGUAGGGGGCGAGCGUUGUCCGGAAUCAUUGGGCGUAAAGAGCGUGUAGGCGGUUUGUCGCGUCUGCCGUGAAAGUCCGGGGCUCAACUCCGGAUCUGCGGUGGAUACGGGCAGACUAGAGUGAUGUAGGGGAGACUGGAAUUCCUGGUGUAGCGGUGAAAUGCGCAGAUAUCAGGAGGAACACCGAUGGCGAAGGCAGGUCUCUGGGCAUUAACUGACGCUGAGGAGCGAAAGCAUGGGGAGCGAACAGG